GGAAAUUUAUAUAAACAAAUUCCAAUCAGAUGCUGCAUCAUGGGAUGGAAAUAGCUUCAUUUCUCCAUGGCUUCUACAAUUUCCUUAGAAAUUUAAUCAGACUCCUUGAAAUAAAGUUUCUGAUUUAAAUAACCUUACUCUGCUGGGAACAACUUGCUCCCAUUUCCUGUUUCUCACCAUAUUCUGCAUAUUAGAAAGAUAAUCUUUUGACAAUCAAUGAUUGGCUGAGUAAAUUUGCCAACCAAGAGCAUUCAUAAUUGUAGUCCUUAUCAAGAUUUGCAACUUCCCAACCAAAUAAAAUGAUUGGCUUUUGCUCAAAAU
Molecule: unclassified non-coding RNA, 321 nt
Filed under: Hevea brasiliensis (rubber tree)
Lineage: Eukaryota; Viridiplantae; Streptophyta; Magnoliopsida; Malpighiales; Euphorbiaceae
Source: RNAcentral